CAUUCCAAGAAGGCUUGGAAGGGUCCUAAGCAGGGAAAUGACACAAUCCAACGUUUAUCCUAAGAAGACCAUGAAAGAAAGCGGGGCAAGAACAAAUGUCAGGAGACCAGGACCUCACAGGCACCACGGCGCCCCCUGCCCUGCCCUGCCCUGAAGCAGUUCCAGGAACGUCAGAUGGUAAGAGAAGAAACGACUUACAAACGUCAAGUCCAUUUUACAGAUGGAAAAUCUGAAGCUCAGAUAGG
RNAcentral lists this long non-coding RNA (245 nucleotides) under Homo sapiens (human). Its description in RNAcentral is "HSALNT0005501". The record is from RNAcentral. Lineage: Eukaryota; Metazoa; Chordata; Mammalia; Primates; Hominidae.